Molecule: small nucleolar RNA, 135 nt
Organism: Cynocephalus volans (Philippine flying lemur)
Lineage: Eukaryota; Metazoa; Chordata; Mammalia; Dermoptera; Cynocephalidae
Product: small nucleolar RNA SNORA42/SNORA80 family
Exons: 1
Source: RefSeq, a predicted model, not a curated record
GUAUCAGUAUUACAAGUGACAGGCCUGUCAUCCCGGGCCCCUCAUAGUGCCCUAUGCCAGAGCAAACUGUGGCCCUGGACCAUGGCCUGGCCUCUGUUCCUGUGGGCUUCUGGCACUGAAGCCGUUUGCACAGUG